CCACGUCGUAUGCCGGUAGAGUCCGGUUUUCCGACGUCGGCGGGCGCGGGAAUCCGGUGGGAAUCCGGAACGGUCGCGCCACUGUGACUGUCCUCAUCGCGGACAGAAGUCAGACCUCCCCCGCCGCACAACACUGGA
RNAcentral lists this non-coding RNA (138 nucleotides) under Nocardia donostiensis. The record is from RNAcentral. Lineage: Bacteria; Bacillati; Actinomycetota; Actinomycetes; Mycobacteriales; Nocardiaceae.